Molecule: ribosomal RNA, 253 nt
Filed under: uncultured bacterium
Lineage: Bacteria
Description: partial 16S ribosomal RNA
Rfam family: Bacterial small subunit ribosomal RNA
Source: RNAcentral
GACGAACCGUGCGAACGUUGUUCGGAUUCACUGGGCUUUAAGGGCGCGUAGGCGGGUUACCAAGUCAGGGGUGAAAUCUUUCGGCUCAACCGGAAAACGGCCCCUGAUACUGGUAGUCUUGAGGGAGGUAGGGGCAGGUGGAACUUCCGGUGGAGCGGUGAAAUGUGUUGAUAUCGGAAGGAACGCCGGUGGCGAAAGCGACCUGCUGGAUCUCUUCUGACGCUGAGGCGCGAAAGCUAGGGGAGCGAACGGG